AGUGAACGCUGGCGGUAGGCCUAACACAUGCAAGUCGAACGGCAGCACAGUAAGAGCUUGCUCUUACGGGUGGCGAGUGGCGGACGGGUGAGGAAUACAUCGGAAUCUACUUUUUCGUGGGGGCUAACGUAGGGAAACUUACGCUAAUACCGCAUACGACCUACGGGUGAAAGCAGGGGAUCUUCGGACCUUGCGCGAUUGAAUGGGCCGAUGUCGGAUUAGCUAGUUGGCGGGGUAAAGGCCCACCAAGGCGACGAUCCGUAGCUGGUCUGAGAGGAUGAUCAGCCACACUGGAAGUGAGACACGGUCCAGACUCCUACGGGAGGCAGCAGUGGGGAAUAUUGGACAAUGGGCGCAAGCCUGAUCCAGCCAUACCGCGUGGGUGAAGAAGGCCUUCGGGUUGGAAAGCCCUUUUGUUGGGAAAGAAAAGCAGCAGGUUAAUACCCCGCUGUUCUGACGGUACCCAAAGAAUAAGCACCGGCUAACUUCGUG
This 492-nucleotide ribosomal RNA is filed under the name uncultured bacterium. RNAcentral's name for it is "partial 16S ribosomal RNA". It matches the Rfam family "Bacterial small subunit ribosomal RNA", at positions 29 to 507 of the family's 1533-position model. The record is from RNAcentral.